This 606-nucleotide ribosomal RNA is filed under the name uncultured bacterium. RNAcentral's name for it is "bacterial SSU rRNA". It matches the Rfam family "Bacterial small subunit ribosomal RNA", at positions 778 to 1381 of the family's 1533-position model. The record is from RNAcentral.
UUAGAUACCCCGGUAGUCCUGGCCGUAAACGAUGGGUACUAGGUGUAGGAGGUAUCGACCCNUUCUGUGCCGGAGUUAACGCAAUAAGUACCCCGCCUGGGGAGUACGACCGCAAGGUUGAAACUCAAAGGAAUUGACGGGGGCCCGCACAAGCGGUGGAGUAUGUGGUUUAAUUCGACGCAACGCGAAGAACCUUACCAGGUCUUGACAUUGAUGGACAGAACUAGAGAUAGUUCCUCUUCUUCGGAAGCCAGAAAACAGGUGGUGCACGGUUGUCGUCAGCUCGAGUCGUGAGAUGUUGGGUUAANNNNNNCAACGAGCGCAACCCCUAUCUUAUGUUGCCAGCACGUAAUGGUGGGAACUCAUGAGAGACUGCCGCAGACAAUGCGGAGGAAGGCGGGGAUGACGUCAAAUCAUCAUGCCCCUUAUGACCUGGGCUACACACGUACUACAAUGGGAGUUAAUAGACGGAAGCGAGAUCGCGAGAUGGAGCAAACCCGAGAAACACUCUCUCAGUUCGGAUCGUAGGCUGCAACUCGCCUACGUGAAGUCGGAAUCGCUAGUAAUCGCAGGUCAGCAUACUGCGGUGAAUACGUUCCCGGGCCU